Molecule: long non-coding RNA, 391 nt
Filed under: Homo sapiens (human)
Lineage: Eukaryota; Metazoa; Chordata; Mammalia; Primates; Hominidae
Description: non-protein coding lnc-FKBP2-1:1
Source: RNAcentral
GAAAGCGGGCUAGCCUGCACGCACGCCAAGAUGGAGCUCCAGGCUAGCCCACAGAACAGCCCAGCCGCAGCCGUCCUACCAGACCAGCACCUUGUAACCACAGUCUAACCCAGCGGGCACCAGGCGAUUGUGAGUGCCACGGGGCUGAGGCCUGCGCCGACCUGGUCUGCUGGUGCUACCAGGCUUGAACAGUCUUCAAAUCCACUGCUAUUAGGCAAAUUACCUGGCUCCCGCUGAACUCCAGCACCUAGAACUAUGUCACACUCGUAGUAGGCCGCUGCAUUGGUUGAACAAAUGAUUUUGAAAGAAUGAAUGUCUUCCUCUGUGCCUGCAUUUCCUCAGAAGGCUGUAACAAAGAUUAAAUAGGAAAAUUCGUGGAAAGUUCAAUUAC